RNAcentral lists this microRNA (24 nucleotides) under Ananas comosus (pineapple). Its description in RNAcentral is "microRNA s0519_c67a". The record is from RNAcentral. Lineage: Eukaryota; Viridiplantae; Streptophyta; Magnoliopsida; Poales; Bromeliaceae.
GAACCUAGCCAAAGGAAUAAGAGA